UGUUGUUACAGGUGCUGUUAACUACUGU
Molecule: non-coding RNA, 28 nt
Filed under: Mus musculus (house mouse)
Lineage: Eukaryota; Metazoa; Chordata; Mammalia; Rodentia; Muridae
Source: RNAcentral